UUGAGCAAUCCUACCAAUAUUCAGCCAAGUGCGAAUUAUUGUAACCUUACCCCUAUUUUUUAGUCUAAUUUGACCGGAUUAAUUAUGUAACUUUAAGUUACUUGUUUGUUGUAACUUAUAAACUUUAUACCAUUUAAUAUUGCUUACUUUGUGAUUAACAAAGUAAAAUGAUAGUAAGUUUUAUUUGUAUAUUUCAGAUGAGAAAGCAGUAAUGAACAUAUUUAGAAGUUCUUAAUAUAUUUUAUUGUAAUUAUAUUAGAAGGAAAUGAUAUAAUAUUGAUUUAAAUUUAUAAAUAAAGUUUAUACUUCAUGAACUUUGGAAAUAUAAAAUCUAGUGAACAAUACUAAGUAAUGAAAAAGAGAAGCCAACUAAAAGUACUAACAGAAACCAAUAAUGGACAAGUUUUAUUAAAGUCUUAUCUUUUUAUUAAUUUAAGUGUUAUAUUAUGUACCUGAAAAUUAAUCUGAUAAUGGAGGAUGAAGCAUUUUAUGAAUAAUGUAAAAAAAUAAGAGGAGUGGAAUAAGAAAUGAUGGUUCGUUAAGUUACCUCAAGGACAGGAAACAGUAACUGAAACUAUGUUCGUACAUUUAAUCUUAACAAGUUCAGCAGUUUGAAUGUUAAUGAGAUAUUUAUUAUAAACAAACUGAAUUUGUAGAUUUUGGGAAGAAUUAUAUCUUUACAAUAACUAUUUUUAUUACUAUUGUUGUGUUGAGGAAACAAUUACUAUUUUUUUAAUUACCCAGGUUGUAUUCAUAGUAACUGUAGGUAUCAUAGUAUUUUAUGAAAUCAUCACACCUAAGGUUAGGUUUUAUGAAUCAAAAAAUUUUUUGUAUAUAACAGCAAACAAACAAGAUAUUGAUAUUGCUGCAAAUUAACACUUACAUUUAUUAGUUAAUUAUCUACAUAUAUAAAUAUGAAUACAUCUACAUUAGGUAAUGCAUUUAAUUUGGUGCACCUGUGUGUGUUCAGUAGUAAUGUGUGUAUUGUUUAAUAAGUUGUAUGCUUAUUUUUCUAUGUAUACUAUGCAACAUGUUAAGGAAGAUAGUCAACAGAGGUGCCUUAUUUGAAUAAAAAAUAACGAUGACUGAAA
Long non-coding RNA from Pieris napi, 1091 nucleotides. RefSeq lists it as uncharacterized. The record is from RefSeq and is a predicted model, not a curated record. Lineage: Eukaryota; Metazoa; Arthropoda; Insecta; Lepidoptera; Pieridae. The transcript is spliced from 2 exons.